AUUCCAUUGUUCUUGGCCAUU
This 21-nucleotide microRNA is filed under the name Oryctolagus cuniculus (rabbit). RNAcentral's name for it is "ocu-miR-12095-3p". The record is from miRBase by way of RNAcentral. Lineage: Eukaryota; Metazoa; Chordata; Mammalia; Lagomorpha; Leporidae.